CCUGGCGCACCGUUCUGGCGUCUCUCUCAUCUCUUAUCCAAAUUUGGGCCUUUCAAAACAAAGUAGGGAACAGCUGCAGUGUCUUGGAAGGAAGGAAAGUCACCUUGAGCGAUGAAAGAGGAACAGAAAAAAACACAGGCGAGCAAGGUUGAGAGAGAGAGAGAGAGAGAGAGAGAGAGAGAGAGGCUCCUGUGCAAGAUGACAUCAGAACAUUAUAUGACAAAUAAAGGGACAAGCACUGCAUUGCUGCAGUUUAGUCAUUGCACUCAGUCCACUGUACUAUAAUGUCACAUACCCUAGCUACCUUAUAACAAUGUUGUUUGUUAAACACUUGCGAAUCGUCCAGAACAAUUAUUGGUCAUGUUCUGAGUCCCCCGGUUACCACUGAAGUGAGAAUUACCUCAUAAUAAAAACAGAUAGCACAUGUUUUUGACAUGAAAACAGGCUGCUCCAAAAGGGGAACUGGAUUCCAUGGUGGCCAUAUUGUGAUUUCUCUGUGGUGUCACGGUAUCGCGUAUUUUUAAACUGUGAAUAACGUUUUUCAUAUUGUGGAUUUCAUUUUUCAUUUCAUUUUUUCUACUACAUUUUUUCAGUACUUCAAUCUAACAGGAAUAAGCUCGACUAAAAAUCAGAGAAUGUCAGAAGUUUGGGAUCGUUUGACACUUGAGCAAAGGAGCACGUCUGCUGUUAGCUGAUUUAGUAUGGCCUAAGAAUGCUACAGUUACAACAAAUUGUAAUCCUUCCACAAGUGGCACUCAAGGGGGAGCACAGCCAGUAACAAAUUACACAUAAUAAGGGCAUACCUACACUAGCUACAGGACACAAUUGACUCUCAGAGACACUCAAACAUGCGGAAUGAUUAAGCCACUCGACAGCUUGCCAAUAACAGUCAAUUCAGAAUUUUCAUUCACUGACUUCACCGUCAUUCAAUAAGCAAAGUCACACAUGUUAAAGAUCAGAAUGUUUGGAUGGUGACCCUGAGCGAACAAAAAUAAUAGCUGCAGCUCACAUCUGUAUUUUGUAUUGGUAUUAUGCAUAAAGCUUUAUAAUGUGAUAAUCUGUAUUAUAAUGUCAAAUAAUGGUCACUAAUUCACUGAUAUUUUCAAUUGUGGGGAUUCUGGAACAUAACCCUGUGAUAAGGGAUUGUUGUCCUCCAAAUGAAAGCAACAAUGAGCAGGCCCUCAACCGCCCUUUUUCAUGGUGGAUGCUCAAAACUAACAGCAAAUUUAAGCCAAGCUCUGCCUCCAUUAAAUGGCCCAUCUGUUGUGGACAUUUUAUCCAAUAGGGGACUCAUUUCGACAAAUUAUAUCGUAGAAUUUUGUCAACGUACAAUUCACAGAAAAAGAUGACAAGACCUAGUUUCUAUUUGCACUGUCAAAAGAAUUAACAAUUUCACAUAGUUUCGGAUCGUUUUUGUAGUUUAGUUACAACAGACUGAAGCUGUUUCUAAUAAGAUCUUAUUUAGCUACACAAGAGGGUCGAUAGAUUAUAACAUCUCUCUCUCUUUCUGUCUCUCUCUCUCUCGUUUGCUGCACUGCAGACAACGUUCGAUGCGAUUACAUUACACAUUGCACAGCAGGACUUUCACGCCGUUAUGGCUGAAUGUGCUGCUCUAGCGUCUCCCUGUGUUCAAACAUUAGAACGUCACCUUGACCCAGUGGCAGAAACCCACGACGCAACAAACCUGAAGUGGUGGAGAAAAGCAAAAAAUGACGACCUACGGCCAAGUGACUGGUUACAAAAAGCCAAGGAAAAAAAAAGUUAUAAUUCCACGAUGCUGGUUGAGCUUGGUCCCGUGAGCCUUCAUCUUACCAGCUUCUCCCAUCUUCGUCACCUUUUUUCAUCACCAUGAGCCCUAAUACCGCAGCUUGGAAAAUUCCACACUGCAGCAAAGAGACGGGUGGCAGAGGAGAGAGAAAGAGAGAGCGAGAGCAAAAAGAGAGACAGAGAGAUGCAGGUAGGAUGGGGGUGGGUGGGACAAGAUGAGAAUUUUUGAAAACGGUAAGCGAUGAUGUGAAUGUAUCGGGAUGAUGUAAAGAGAGAACUAGUGCGGUGCUUGUGCGGUGCUGAAUACGACCAUAUAAAGAGGAUGAGGACAAAGUAAAACUUAAGCCAAAUAUGACCCUUGAUUAUAUUUCAACAUAAAAUUCAUUUAAAUAGCCCACAGCCAUGUGCUAAAACGGGCACAAAAAGUAGGAUGGCAAAUUGCUGCAGGAAAUAAGGUGCCCGGAACACAAUGGACAGAGGGUGAGCUGCAUUUUGAAAUUGCACACAAUGGGAUGGAGGGGGAGACCGAGAGUGAGGGAGGGUGGAGUGAUGUGGCUCUCUGGACGCACUUAAGCUCUGCAGAAACGUGCAUCAAUCAUCACGUGCGUUGAGAUUAAACAGAAAAGCACUGCAGUGCCCCAAUACUGCUGCACCCCCACAAACGCAAUCUGUGAUGCUACAGCCUCAUCCGCACUGUGAAUCAUGCCACAGCGACCACAGCAUCACGUAGUGUGCACCUGCACAGUUCAAUACAACAUGCUGACUUGUGCCGCUCAAAAUAUUGGAAACGCCUCAGUGCAUCUGGAAUGUUCUAUAUCGACGCAAUGUAAAUGUCACAGAUUGUGACCAUAUAAGGGGUACAGUGGAUAUUAAAAGUCUUCACCCCACUGUUCAACUGCCAUGUUUUUUGUAAUAUAAACAAAUGAGACCAAGAUCAUUUCAAAAAUGUUCCCACCACACUGUUACUGUCAAAUAAGCUGAAUAACAUGGCUUCUAAUCUUUCAAGAGUGGAAAAAUAAACAAUAGAAAUGAGGCGGGUGUACACACCCUCAUCUAACUUGGAUGUGGCUGUGUUCAGAAUCAACCAACCACAUUAAUACUCAAGUUAAAUGGGAGUCGACACCCGUCACCAUUUAAGAGGCUUUUGAUUAACCCCAAAUAAUUGUCAGAUGUUCGAGCAGGCUUUUCGUUAUUUGUUACGACGGCCACAGUUUCAGCUGAGGAAAAACAAUUCUCUUGACGCUGCCACCAUUAUUCUUCAUUUUAGGUCUGGUGGGCUUAUGGUUGUGUUUGCGCAAAAAAUACCUUUUGCAAUUACGGCCAAAAAGUUCAACCUUUCCUCCAUCCAUACAUAACACAUUUUCAUUUUUCACCUGAAAUGUACUGUAUUUGGGGUUAAUCAGAGGCAAUGGAAAUGUCUUUUAACAUGACUUUAAUUGUAAUUGGUUAAUGCUACAAACAAACAAACAAAUAAAUAAAUUAAAAGCCGCAUCCCAUUUAUAAGAGUGUGCACACUUGUGCAACCACAUUUUUUCAGCUGUUUUCUUUUAGCCUCUCCUCUACAAAA
Hippocampus zosterae (dwarf seahorse) is the source of this 3334-nucleotide long non-coding RNA. RefSeq lists it as uncharacterized. The transcript is spliced from 3 exons. Lineage: Eukaryota; Metazoa; Chordata; Actinopteri; Syngnathiformes; Syngnathidae. The record is from RefSeq and is a predicted model, not a curated record.